RNAcentral lists this long non-coding RNA (852 nucleotides) under Homo sapiens (human). RNAcentral's name for it is "long intergenic non-protein coding RNA 879". The record is from RNAcentral. Lineage: Eukaryota; Metazoa; Chordata; Mammalia; Primates; Hominidae.
ACCUCAUCGUGUCCGCCAUCUUGGGGCGACGGCCAGAAGUCCAGGGCUAGGAGCCUCAGCCGGCGGACGCCAGGAAACAGCCAAGAACUGAACCAAAAUACAAACAACAUAAACUACCACUUGAUGAGAAGAACUUCAAAGUCAAAUUGCAAAAGGAAAGUAUUUUAUCAGAAGAAUUCGUAGAAGUAGAAUCUGUUUGUCUUCAGUUAAACAAAAGAAGAACCUCAUUGCUUUCCAACUGGGCCCCGGCCAUUUUCCAGUUGAAACAUCAAAUAUUUUAUUUGUGUCUUUCACUGCCAAUUAAAGGGCAACAGAAAUGGUACAGGCUCCCUCUGCAGUGGAAUUACCCUUAUGUCUUUUCUGUCUAUGCUGAUCCACCUGAUCUUGAACUGGUGCUAUUCCAUGGGGAAAAUUGGAACAUGGGGCAAUUAACACUUUCUCCACUUUAUCCCAUCAACAGGAAAUUGAAAUAUAACCAACUAACUCAGGAGACAUCAUGGAAGAUGUCACACAGUGAAUGAUGAUGAAGCAGAAUUUUUAAAAUGUGUAGGAUUACGAGAAGUGGGGUCAUUUUUCUUUGUGUAUGGUAUUGCUGAUGCAGUUUAAUGCUCCAUUACUUCUAAAUUUUCAUCAUAAGCUAGAUUUUCCAGUUGUGGUUUCUAUAAAGAAAAACAAACAUUCUGAAGACAGUUUUUCCAGAUUUAUUCCAGAUAUCGAUGAUUAACUUUUGAAGCUCCUCUGUUGAUUUGAACAUCCGCUGAAGCUUAUUUUUCACCUCAGAAUAGCAUCAACAUUAUUUGAAAUUCAAUUGUACUUUCUCGUUACAUUAAUAAAUCAUGGAAGUUGAGAAAA